This is a non-coding RNA of Poecilia reticulata (guppy), 968 nucleotides long. NCBI's taxonomy places the organism in Eukaryota, Metazoa, Chordata, Actinopteri, Cyprinodontiformes, Poeciliidae. The record is from RefSeq and is a predicted model, not a curated record.
UUCAGACUGUCAGAAAGCUGGAGAGAGAAAAAAAAAGUUGGCAAUGAUUUGUAACAAACUGGACAGGUUUACAUCAGUGUGUCUAUAUUUCUGUGCACCUAAAACUCUUAAGAACCUUGUUCCUAUACAUAAAGUUACGUGUAAAACGGAUUAUUUUUUCCAUGCCAGCCAGCUAUGCUCCCAGCAGCCUCUCUGUUGACAUAGCUUCCACAAUGGGAACUAAAGCCUUCCCAUUGUGAAUCUAACCCCAGGCAGAGUUACUACACUACACUGUUGUCCAGUACAGGCCUAAAGCCUGGAUCUAGAAGUCUAACAAGCCCCUCCUCAUGGACCCCAUGCUGCAUUGUUAAGCUUCAUUCUGGUCCUACAAUGGGACAUCGCACUUUGGAAGUCAUUCUCAAAAAAGGAGAAGCCAAUCAAAAAUAAAGCCAGUUAUUGUGUCUCUUUUCACACACGUUGGUGAGCUGGCCCAACCUCAUUGGUCGCCCUAAACCCCAGGAUUCAUUCAUGUCCAUUAUAUGAACAAAUUAAAUAAAACCCAGGAUGGAAGGGAAGCUUAGAAUCAGCCUGGGUUGAGAGGAACACAGAGAGGAUGGAUGGUACAGAGCUUUCUGCAUCUCUAAUGGACUUAUCGAUCAAUAUUCAAACACAUCAAGAAGACACGGACACCGUGUAAAAAUGAGACAGGGCUGCGGAGCUGCAGUGGAGCUGACAGCUUGCUGUGACAGAGAGCCUAAAACCAACAAAGUGUCAGCUGCUGCACAGGAGAAAUGCCGUUGAUUGGAUUAGGCCGCUGUGUGUUCUCAGGCCUAAUGGAGCGAGUUCCAGACACCGUCCAACACAGAUCUAUUUUUAAUUAGAAAUUAGACACAGAAACAAGGGAACUUUCUGAAAGGAGCCGAGAAUAAAAACCUUUCAUCUUUACAAUUAACAUGCAUUAAAACUGUUUGCUACCAAAAAAAAAAAAA